This 1700-nucleotide ribosomal RNA is filed under the name metagenome. RNAcentral's name for it is "bacterial LSU rRNA". It matches the Rfam family "Bacterial large subunit ribosomal RNA", at positions 1188 to 2910 of the family's 2925-position model. The record is from RNAcentral.
UAGACACCGAAGGCGCGGGAUAGCAUUUAAGAAAGUAUCGGUAGGGGAGCAUACUCACAGCGUUGAAUGGUGUACGUAAGUUAUCCUGGAGCGGUGAGUAAAGCAAAUGUAGGAAUAAGUAACGAUAAGGAGGGUUAGAUUCCCUCCCGCUGUAAGACCAAGGUUUCCCGGGCAAUGCCAAUCAGCCCGGGGUCAGUCGGGUCCUAAGUCUAAGCCGAACGGCGAUGGCGAUGGCAGAGACGGUUAAUAUUCCGUCACUGCCGCAUGGGGCGACGUGGAGACGGAGCAGUGAAACCACCGCGGGGCGACGGAAGUCCCCGUUGAAGAGUGUAGGCGUUGAGGAUGGCAGGCAAAUCCACCGUCCGAGCUGAACUUGAUAGUAUGGAGCCUUCUUCGGAGGAAUCCAAUAGUGUGGGUAAUCAUACUCCCGAGAAAAUCCGCUAAGCUUAACCCAUGCGGCACCCGUACCGCAAACGGACACACGUGGUCGGGUAGAACAUACUGAGGCGUUGAGAGAUUCAUGGUUAAGGAACUAGGCAAAUUGACCCUGUAACUUCGGGAUAAAGGGUCCUCGUGAAGAGCGAGGCGCAGAGAAUAGGUCCAGGCAACUGUUUAACAAAAACACAGGGCUGUGCAAAACUCGAAAGAUGACGUAUACAGCCUGACACCUGCCCGGUGCCGGAAGGUUAAGAGGAGAUGUCACACUUAUGUGGAAGCAUCGAAUUGAAGCCCCGGUAAACGGCGGCCGUAACAAUAACGGUCCUAAGGUAGCGAAAUUCCUUGUCGGGUAAGUUCCGACCUGCACGAAUGGUGUAAUGAUCCGGACGCUGUCUCAACCAUGAGCUCAGUGAAAUUGUAGUAUCGGUGAGGAUGCCGAUUACCCGCGAUGGGACGAAAAGACCCCGUGAACCUUUACUACAGCUUAGCAUUGACCUUGGUCAUCCGAUGUGUAGGAUAGGCCGGAGGCUUCGAAGCGGGAGCGCCAGCUUUCGUGGAGCCAUCCUUGAAAUACGGCCCUUUGGCUGUCUGAGGUCUAACGCGCGAUGCGCGGACACUGCUUGGUGGGUAGUUUGACUGGGGUGGUCGCCUCCAAAAGCGUAACGGAGGCUUCCAAAGGUGCCCUCGGGUCGAUUGGUAACCGACCUCAAAGAGUGCAAUGGCAUAAGGGCGCUUGACUGGGAGGCAGACAUGCCGAGCAGGCAGGAAACUGGGGCAUAGUGAUCCGGCGGAUGUGUAUGGAAACUCCGUCGCUCAAAGGAUAAAAGGUACUCCGGGGAUAACAGGCUGAUCCCCCCCAAGAGCUCAUAUCGACGGGGUGGUUUGGCACCUCGAUGUCGGCUCGUCACAUCCUGGGGCUGGAGAAGGUCCCAAGGGUUGGGCUGUUCGCCCAUUAAAGUGGCACGCGAGCUGGGUUCAGAACGUCGUGAGACAGUUCGGUCUCUAUCUAUCGUGGGCGUGGGAGUUUUGCGUGGUGCCGUCACUAGUACGAGAGGACCGUGAUGGACAGACCUCCGGUUUACCAGUUGUGCCGCCAGGCGCACCGCUGGGUAUCUGAGUCUGGAUUGGAUAAGCGCUGAAAGCAUCUAAGUGCGAAGCCAGCCGCAAGAUGAGAACUCCAUUGAGGGUCGUCAGAGACGAUGACGUUGAUAGGAUGCAGGUGUAAAGACAGCGAUGUCAAAGCCGAGCAUUACUAAUUGCCC